RNAcentral lists this ribosomal RNA (491 nucleotides) under uncultured bacterium. Its description in RNAcentral is "partial 16S ribosomal RNA". It matches the Rfam family "Bacterial small subunit ribosomal RNA", at positions 29 to 507 of the family's 1533-position model. The record is from RNAcentral.
AGUGAACGCUGGCGGUAGGCCUAACACAUGCAAGUCGAACGGCAGCACAGUAAGAGCUUGCUCUUACGGGUGGCGAGUGGCGGACGGGUGAGGAAUACAUCGGAAUCUACUUUUUCGUGGGGGAUAACGUAGGGAAACUUACGCUAAUACCGCAUACGACCUACGGGUGAAAGCAGGGAUCUUCGGACCUUGCGCGAUUGCAUGAGCCGAUGUCGGAUUAGCUAGUUGGCGGGGUAAAGGCCCACCAAGGCGACGAUCCGUAGCUGGUCUGAGAGGAUGAUCAGCCACACUGGAACUGAGACACGGUCCAGACUCCUACGGGAGGCAGCAGUGGGGAAUAUUGGACAAUGGGCGCAAGCCUGAUCCAGCCAUACCGCGUGGGUGAAGAAGGCCUUCGGGUUGUAAAGCCCUUUUGUUGGGAAAGAAAAGCAGCAGGUUAAUACCCCGCUGUUCUGACGGUACCCAAAGAAUAGGCACCGGCUAACUUCGUG